Molecule: long non-coding RNA, 263 nt
Organism: Sinocyclocheilus grahami
Lineage: Eukaryota; Metazoa; Chordata; Actinopteri; Cypriniformes; Cyprinidae
Exons: 3
Source: RefSeq, a predicted model, not a curated record
UAGAAUCGAGUGUCCUCUUAUUUACCAUCUGGAUGUGGGGGCCAUGUACCCCAACAUCAUCCUUACCAACAGACUACAGCCCUCUGCCAUGGUGGAUGAGGCGACCUGUGCCGCCUGUGAUUUUAAUAAACCUGGUGCAAACUGUCAGCGCAGAAUGACUUGGCAGUGGAGAGGAGAGAUCAAAGUGAGUUUCAUCGCAUUCAGCAGCAACUGGAGUCCGAGAAGUUUCCCCCUCUCUUUCCUAAUGGUCCACCUCGUGCUUU